Molecule: long non-coding RNA, 291 nt
Filed under: Brassica napus (rape)
Lineage: Eukaryota; Viridiplantae; Streptophyta; Magnoliopsida; Brassicales; Brassicaceae
Description: long non-coding RNA (BNAP_LNC001222)
Source: RNAcentral
UUUAAAACAUAAUUUCUUUUAAAAAAAUUAAACUAAGGAAAUCCGAUUAAGCCGAACUAAAACACAUACCAAGCCGAACACAAACUAAACCAAAUACAAACCGAACCGAAGCCGAUCCAAACCAAACUAAUUAUUGUUUACUUCAGUUGAAAAAAAUCUAAAACAGAAUUAAACAAACGGAACCCAAACCGAAAUGAUAAAAUUUUGCUUCCUCCUAUAUAAAUGAUCUAAUAACAUUUUUGGUGAUGAGUUUUAUAAACUAAACUUGUUUAAGUGUAUACCUCCCCCCUC